Pseudoliparis swirei is the source of this 449-nucleotide long non-coding RNA. RefSeq lists it as uncharacterized. The transcript has 3 exons. The record is from RefSeq and is a predicted model, not a curated record. Lineage: Eukaryota; Metazoa; Chordata; Actinopteri; Perciformes; Liparidae.
UGGUGUUUUGAGCCCUCACCGGCGCCUUCCAGGCAGCGGCUGCCUGGAAGGCGCCGGAAGGUGGUCCCGCCCCCCAAAACUCUGAUCCAAUCAAUGCGCUACCCCCACUUGGAGCGGAGCGCAUAUUCAAAUCCACUUUUUGGAGCGCAUUGCAUAUUCAAACCCGCGCAUUUGGAGCCAAACCCACUUGGAGCGCAUUUGGAGCGCAUUUAACCCACUUGGUUCAACAAUUUCAAAGUUCAUGAAGAAAUGGCGCCCAGGAAGGUAGGAUGGAAGCGGAAGGCCCUGCAGGUGUCAAAAGGUGGUAAGUUAUUCUUUAUCUUGCCAUCUGGACUCGAGUACUACAACACUAGUUCAUCUCCUCAUAUAGCAAAUUUGGUUACUUCUUGUUACUUUAUAGGACCAUCUGCAAAGAUCGCAAUUUUCCACCAGUCACCACUGGUUGGUGG